This 30-nucleotide non-coding RNA is filed under the name Rattus norvegicus (Norway rat). The record is from RNAcentral. Lineage: Eukaryota; Metazoa; Chordata; Mammalia; Rodentia; Muridae.
UUAUAUGACGAUGGGAUCAAGAGGCUUGGU